Molecule: transfer RNA, 77 nt
Filed under: Gilvimarinus algae
Lineage: Bacteria; Pseudomonadati; Pseudomonadota; Gammaproteobacteria; Cellvibrionales; Cellvibrionaceae
Also listed under: 1 other name
Description: tRNA-Arg
Rfam family: tRNA
About the family: Transfer RNA (tRNA) molecules are approximately 80 nucleotides in length. Their secondary structure includes four short double-helical elements and three loops (D, anti-codon, and T loops). Further hydrogen bonds mediate the characteristic L-shaped molecular structure. tRNAs have two regions of fundamental functional importance: the anti-codon, which is responsible for specific mRNA codon recognition, and the 3' end, to which the tRNAs corresponding amino acid is attached (by aminoacyl-tRNA synthetases). tRNAs cope with the degeneracy of the genetic code in two manners: having more than one tRNA (with a specific anti-codon) for a particular amino acid; and 'wobble' base-pairing, i.e. permitting non-standard base-pairing at the 3rd anti-codon position.
Source: RNAcentral
GCCCCGGUAGCUCAGUAGGAUAGAGCAGCCGCCUCCUAAGCGGCAGGUCGGACGUUCAAAUCGUCUCCGGGGCGCCA